UGGUAGCCUUGCAGGGCUGGCACUCGGGCCAUACGGAGUUUUGCAUUACCACCCAGCUUCUGGGGUGUGGCUGGAGCAGGACUGAAGAUCCCAAGAAUCUAAGACUUUCUGGUUCUCCAGAAAAACAAAAUAAAUACAUGGAAUUGGCUCACAUGCGUAUGAAGAUGGAAAAGUCCCACAAUCUGCAGUUGGCAAACUAGAGACCCAGAGGAGCUGAUGGUGUGGUCCAGGUCAAGUCCAAUUAUGACUGCAGCAGAAGACUGAUGUCCCAGGUCAGAGAAGUGGACAAAGAAAAUUUCCCCUUAUCCUACCUUUUUUUUUCUUUAUUCAGUCAUCCAGCUGAUUGGAUGAGGACCAACCACGUUGAGAAAGGCCAUCUGCUUUACUCGGCCUACCAAGUUGAAUAUGAAUCUCAUCCAGUAACACCCUAACAGACACACCCAGAAUGUUUAUCCAAAUGUCUGGGCAUCCCAUGGUCCAGUCAAGUUGACACAUAAAAUUAACUAUCACAAGUCCAUUCCUUGUCUACUUGACACCCAUACACAUCUCCUUAAACCAUACUUAAUUUCCGAAUAUAGACAAUAACAAGGCAUGUCUGAUACAACUAUUCUACCUACCAUUUAAAAUGCACUAACCCAUUCCCCAGAAGAAAAGAUAAAGUUCUUAAUUGAUGUUUACUCUUGCUCUGAUAUCCUUAACUUAAA
Molecule: long non-coding RNA, 704 nt
Organism: Suricata suricatta (meerkat)
Lineage: Eukaryota; Metazoa; Chordata; Mammalia; Carnivora; Herpestidae
Exons: 3
Source: RefSeq, a predicted model, not a curated record